This 24-nucleotide non-coding RNA is filed under the name Arabidopsis thaliana (thale cress). The record is from RNAcentral. Lineage: Eukaryota; Viridiplantae; Streptophyta; Magnoliopsida; Brassicales; Brassicaceae.
AAUGGUGAUGAUUCGGGUCUUGAG